ACUGAUCAUCUCAUACAGAUGGCUGUUGCUCAUGUUCUGCCAGAAACACACCAUCGUCUUUGUAAAUGGAGCGUAAUUCGAGAAACCAAGGAGAAGCUGACUCAUGUAUGUCAAGCACAUCCAACCUUUGAAACUGAAUUUAUGAAGUGUGUUAAUGGAAGUGAGACAAUCGAGGAAUUUGAAUUUCAGUGGAAGUCAUUCCUAGAAAGAUAUUACCUCACGGAUAAUGAAUACCUCCAAUCAAUUUAUAGUGCUCGCCAUCACUGGGUUCCUGUUUUCAUGCGAGAGACAUUUGUUGGG
RNAcentral lists this unclassified non-coding RNA (300 nucleotides) under Hevea brasiliensis (rubber tree). The record is from RNAcentral. Lineage: Eukaryota; Viridiplantae; Streptophyta; Magnoliopsida; Malpighiales; Euphorbiaceae.